UACGUAGGGGUGCAAGCGUUAAUCGGAAUUACUGGGCGUAAAGCGCACGUAGGCGGCUUUGUAAGUUAGAGGUGAAAGCCCGGGGCUCAACCCCCGGAAUUGCCUUUAAGACUGCAUCGCUUGAAUCCAGGAGAGGUGAGUGGAAUUCCGAGUGUAGAGGUGAAAUUCGUAGAUAUUCGGAAGAACACCAGUGGCGAAGGCGGCUCACUGGACUGGUAUUGACGCUGAGGUGCGAAAGCGUGGGGAGCAAACAGG
Molecule: ribosomal RNA, 255 nt
Filed under: uncultured bacterium
Lineage: Bacteria
Description: partial 16S ribosomal RNA
Rfam family: Bacterial small subunit ribosomal RNA
Source: RNAcentral